Molecule: ribosomal RNA, 495 nt
Filed under: uncultured bacterium
Lineage: Bacteria
Description: partial 16S ribosomal RNA
Rfam family: Bacterial small subunit ribosomal RNA
Source: RNAcentral
GAUGAACGCUGGCGGCGUGCCUAAUACAUGCAAGUCGAACGCUGAAGGAGGAGCUUGCUCUUCUGGAUGAGUUGCGAACGGGUGAGUAACGCGUAGGUAACCUGCCUGGUAGCGGGGGAUAACUAUUGGAAACGAUAGCUAAUACCGCAUGACAACAGUUAUUGCAUGAUAACUGUUUAAAAGGGGCAACUGCUCCACUACCAGAUGGACCUGCGUUGUAUUAGCUAGUUGGUGAGGUAACGGCUCACCAAGGCGACGAUACAUAGCCGACCUGAGAGGGUGAUCGGCCACACUGGGACUGAGACACGGCCCAGACUCCUACGGGAGGCAGCAGUAGGGAAUCUUCGGCAAUGGACGGAAGUCUGACCGAGCAACGCCGCGUGAGUGAAGAAGGGUUUCGGAUCGUAAAGCUCUGUUGUAAGAGAAGAACGAGUGUGAGAGUGGAAAGCUCACACUGUGACGGUAUCUUACCAGAAAGGGACGGCUAACUACGUG